This is a small nucleolar RNA of Ornithorhynchus anatinus (platypus), 138 nucleotides long. The record is from RefSeq and is a predicted model, not a curated record. NCBI's taxonomy places the organism in Eukaryota, Metazoa, Chordata, Mammalia, Monotremata, Ornithorhynchidae.
CCCCUCUCAGGAUUGUACCUGGUGAGUUUCCAGUUCUCUACCAGGCUCAGCUAUGAGAAGGAGAGUCAGGCAGAGGUCUGUCCAUUCCACUCCUAGUUUGGGCAGUAGCUAGCAAGUGGAAGGCAAUCUGCUACAAAG